UCGCUGUACGGAGGUCCCAGCACGUAAAACCUGUCUGGGGUAAACACAGAUGGCAGGCGUGUUAUCCCAGCAGCACACCGGAAGCUGAGGCAGGAGGAUUGCUGCGAGUUCCAGGCCUGGGCUGCAGAUGAACCUGUUUCAAAAAACAAACAAAAAGCAGACACAAAGGCCAGGCCCUCUGGAUCAUAUCUUUAAUUUCAGCACUUCGCAGGCGGAGCCAGGCGGAUCUCUGUCAGUUCAAGGACAGCCGGGUCUACAUAGUGAGUUCCAGGCCACCCGGAACUACAUAGUGAAACCUUGUCUCAAAACAGGGCAAAGGGUAGGGAGUGGGGCACAUGCUAAAUCAGAAAUGGUUUGGUAGGCCAGUCAUUCUAGCACUCUGAAGACUGAGGCAAGAGGCUUGUUGUGGGUUCCAGGCCUACACAGACUACUGAAAAAGCAUGGCGGUGCACGCUUGUAAUCUCAGCAUUCAGGAAAUGGAGGUCCACACCUGGAACUGAUGUGGGACUGACUCAGAUAGUCCACAGCAGCAGACUAUUUGUGUCUGAGAAGAGCUCUUUGCCAGCUUCGGAGUUUAAAUCUGUGGGCUCUGGAGACAGAAUAAAUGCCAGAGCCCAGAGAGUGUGGAGGCUCUGAGAAAGAACAAGGCUGCUGCUGCUUCCCGGUGGCUCCUGGUUGCUGUUGUGAGACAAGAAGUUGGAGAUCUCCUGAAAAGAGGACUGGACUGGCUCCAAGGAACCUGAUGACCCUGACCAGCAGGAAGCAGCUAAGAGAUCUGUGGCCCCUCUCCCACUAGCCCUUUCUCUUUCCUACCUGGUGUUGGGGUGUUGGAAGGGGCACAGUUGGGGUGGAGUAGGGAAAAAAAUAACUGUAAAUAAAAGUUCUUAAAAAGUACACCUAGAGUUGUGAGCCCCUGUGUGGGUGCUGGGGACUGAGGCUGGGUCCUUUGCAAGGGCAACGUGUCCUCUUAAGCACUGAACCAUUCCCACUGCCCCUUGUGGACUGCAGAUAUUUUUAAUCGCCAAGAGACCAGAUAGAGAUAGCCAAGAUGGGCCUGGGAGCAUUCAGGGACCAUUCUCAGUAGUUGCUAGAGUAUCUGUCACACCAUACAGUUGGAAUGCUAAGAAUUUUAUUUUAAGGCAGGUGGUGGUAGUGGUGCCUGCCUUUAAUCCCAGCACUUGGGAGGCAGAGGCAGGUGAAUCUCUGAGUUCCGGGCCAGCCUAGUCUACAAAGAGAGUCCAGGACAGCCAAGGCUACACAGAGAAACCCUGUCUCGAAAAACAGAAUUAAAAAAAAAUUUUUUUUUGCAAAAUAA
This is a long non-coding RNA of Meriones unguiculatus (Mongolian gerbil), 1315 nucleotides long. RefSeq lists it as uncharacterized. The transcript is spliced from 2 exons. The record is from RefSeq and is a predicted model, not a curated record. Lineage: Eukaryota; Metazoa; Chordata; Mammalia; Rodentia; Muridae.